UUAAAUGGCUGCAGUAAUUUGACUGUACAAAGGUAGCAUAAUCAUUAGUUUUUUAAUUAAAAGCUUGAAUGAAAGGUUGGACGAAGUAAAAUCUGUCUCUUUAUAAUAAAAUUAGAAUUUAAUUUUUAAGUUAAAAAGCUUAAAUUUUUAUAAAAGACGAGAAGACCCUAUAGAGUUUAAUAAUUUUAAUAAAAUAAUUAAUUUAGAUUUAUUUAUUUUAUUUUUUUAUAAAUUAUUUUAUUGGGGUAAUAAUAAGAUUUAAAUAAUUCUUUUUUUUUAUAUCAUUAAUUUAUGAAAUAUUUAUGAUCCAUUAUUUUUAUGAUUAUAAGAUUAAAUUACCUUAGGGAUAACAGCGUAAUUUUUUUGGAAAGUUCUUAUUGAUAAAAAAGUUUGCGACCUCGAUGUUGGAUUAAAGAUUAAUUUAGGUGUAGAAGUUUAAAUUUUUGGUCUGUUCGACCAUUAAAUCUUUACAUGAUCUGAGUUCAAACCGGUGUAAACCAGGUCGGUUUCUAU
This 513-nucleotide ribosomal RNA is filed under the name Aphaenops puigmalensis. RNAcentral describes it as "Geotrechus puigmalensis partial 16S ribosomal RNA". The stretch from base 346 to 504 matches the Rfam family "Bacterial large subunit ribosomal RNA", at positions 2473 to 2632 of the family's 2925-position model. The record is from RNAcentral. Lineage: Eukaryota; Metazoa; Arthropoda; Insecta; Coleoptera; Carabidae.